AUAGACAGCAGUACGCAUGCGCGAGCCGGGUGACUGCAGUACUUACGCGCUAGAUUGAAGAUGGUACUAUGCAUGCGCGAAUUUCGAGAUGGCAGUAAGCAUGCGCGAUAUUAUGGACGGCAGUACGCUUGCGUGAGCCCCGAGACGGCAAUACGCAUGCGCGAGCCCCGAGACGGCAGUACGCAUGCGGGAGUCGUGAGACGGCAGUAUGCAUGCGCGAGUCACGUAGCUGUGCUACGCAUGCGCGAUAGCCUUGACAGCACUAGGCAUGAGCGAGCCUCGAGAUGGUAGUACGCAAGCGCGACAUGUGUGAGUGUAGUACGGCUGCGUGAACCGCGAGACGAAAGUACGCAUGCGCCAUCUUCGGGUACGUUCGGAGCCAAAAUAGUCAGUUUCCGUGGCAGGCCCGCGUGUCAAACCCCCCGAGCAAAAAGGCAACGAACACUCAACACCGCAAGAGAGAAAAGAAGCGCUGAGCCCGAGGACCAGGAAUUGACUGCCCGCCCGGCCCUCGGGGCUUAGGAGGAAUGGAUGCUAAUUUUAAGCUUCACGGCGCAUGCGUAGCACUGCCUGGAGGACUAAGUAUAAUAAAGAUCGAAGGAUGGGCUGCGCAAGACCGGACAAUACAUAAAUGAUUUCCGCGAGUCUGUGGGCAUGCGUUUUGCUGCCUCCGCCUCCUAACAAACACGGCUGCAAUUCCACCGAUUGGCCAUGUGGUGGCACCAGGGAGAGCCGAAACUAAUUCUUCGCAGUUCCCACACUUGGCCACGAGAGGGCACCAGUGACCGUGGAAACCAUGCCGAUGCAGUUCCGCUGACUGGCCAUGAGGGGGCACGAGAUACCACGGGAACAACUCCCCCGACCGGUUUGACCGGUUCGCCAGGGCCUGCGACGGGUAUCCGCUCGUCUCUUUCUUUCGAUAGCAGUGGAAAAAAAAAAAACACAGGAGAGGAAAGGGGGGGAGAAAGGGAGACGACUUAAAAAAAAACAAGGAAAACUUCGACUCACCCACCAAACUAGUCCUAAGUGCUUACCAUUACCUGCAAAUAAUUAAAUACAUAACCAGGAAA
This is a long non-coding RNA of Gallus gallus (chicken), 1070 nucleotides long. RefSeq lists it as uncharacterized. The transcript is spliced from 2 exons. NCBI's taxonomy places the organism in Eukaryota, Metazoa, Chordata, Aves, Galliformes, Phasianidae. The record is from RefSeq and is a predicted model, not a curated record.